CAACAUAAGAGGCAAAAUUCACCGAAAGGGAAUGACGCAAAGCCAUGGAUCUACAGUCUCACUUUUCCGGUGAGAUCAUGACAGCCAGGUUGCUGAA
This is a regulatory RNA element of Paenibacillus sp. FSL R5-0912, 97 nucleotides long. It matches the Rfam family "c-di-GMP-I riboswitch aptamer". From Rfam's summary of the family: GEMM was predicted in a large-scale screen for bacterial structured RNA regulatory elements. Genes associated with GEMM are involved in a diverse array of functions, including chemotaxis regulation, signal transduction, secretion and chitin. The record is from Rfam. NCBI's taxonomy places the organism in Bacteria, Bacillati, Bacillota, Bacilli, Caryophanales, Paenibacillaceae.